CACAGCCGCGGUAAUACGGAGGGGGCUAGCGUUGUUCGGAUUUACUGGGCGUAAAGGGCGCGUAGGCGGGCGAAUAAGUCAGGGGUGAAAUCCCAAGGCUCAACCUUGGAACUGCCUUUGAUACUGUUUGUCUUGAGUCCGGGAGAGGUGAGUGGAACUGCGAGUGUAGAGGUGAAAUUCGUAGAUAUUCGCAAGAACACCAGUGGCGAAGGCGGCUCACUGGCCCGGCAUUGACGCUGAGGAGCGAAAGCGUGGGGAGCGAACAGGAUUAGAUACCCGCGUAGUCCCUGUCUCUUAUACA
This 301-nucleotide ribosomal RNA is filed under the name uncultured bacterium. RNAcentral describes it as "partial 16S ribosomal RNA". It matches the Rfam family "Bacterial small subunit ribosomal RNA", at positions 510 to 808 of the family's 1533-position model. The record is from RNAcentral.